UACAGAGGGGGCAAGCGUUAUUCGGAAUUAUUGGGCGUAAAGGGCGCGUAGGCGGCUUUUCAAGUGGCGGGUGAAAUCCCUCGGCUUAACCGAGGAACUGCCUGCCAGACUGGAAGGCUCGAGACCGGGAGAGGUGAGUGGAAUUCCCAGUGUAGCGGUGAAAUGCGUAGAUAUUGGGAGGAACACCAGUGGCGAAGGCGGCUCACUGGACCGGAACUGACGCUGAGGCGCGAAAGCGUGGGGAGCAAACAGG
Molecule: ribosomal RNA, 253 nt
Filed under: uncultured bacterium
Lineage: Bacteria
Description: partial 16S ribosomal RNA
Rfam family: Bacterial small subunit ribosomal RNA
Source: RNAcentral